Molecule: long non-coding RNA, 705 nt
Organism: Microplitis mediator
Lineage: Eukaryota; Metazoa; Arthropoda; Insecta; Hymenoptera; Braconidae
Exons: 3
Source: RefSeq, a predicted model, not a curated record
UAAGCAGGCUGUUAAUAGAUUUCUCAUAUCAUGGCUUAGUAAGUUAUGAAUCGUAUGUGAAAUUUUUCCAAGUAAUUGAGAGCCAGUUUUUCAAACUGGGAUUUCUUUAUUCGAAUUUCAAUUAAUAUUGAUAGUAUAUCUAUAUAUAUAUGAUAAAUAUACUAUAAAUUAUAAGUGAUAUAACAGCAAUAAUAACUUAAACUCAGACUUAAGAAAAUCCGGUUUGAAAAACUGGCUCUGGAAGUCCUCAAUAAACUUAGUUUACUUAUAUGGGUAAGCUUAAAAGUUUACUCAGGACUAAUUUUGACUGAACGUACCAAUAGUGAAGGACUCUGUUGUUCAACUAUUUCUUUACUCAAUUAAGUUGAGAUUAUUCUUGUUGAUAGUACGUGUAAUAAAAUAGUUCGUAUCAUAUUCAUUACAAAAUUCAAUAAUUUUGUUACAAGAACUCUUUAGAAUGGUAUUAAAGCCACAAAAUAAAAUGUCUAACGAUUCUGCAAGGCUGAAACAAAUUUAUGAGGAGGCACAGUUUUACCAUAAAGAUUAUCAGACUCGAGGAACCUUAAAAUCUCAUUAUUUCAUUUUAUGCGAUUAUAAUGGAUAUUCUGGGGAAGAAGUCAAGGAACCGGUCAGUAAAAGAUCGAAAAAUGAAUAAUUAAUUAAAGCUAUGUUUUGGUUUCUGUUCAGUGCUUUGUCAAAUUUAAU